Molecule: ribosomal RNA, 253 nt
Filed under: uncultured bacterium
Lineage: Bacteria
Description: partial 16S ribosomal RNA
Rfam family: Bacterial small subunit ribosomal RNA
Source: RNAcentral
UACGAAGGGGGCUAGCGUUGUUCGGAUUUACUGGGCGUAAAGCGCACGUAGGCGGAUUGUUAAGUCGGGGGUGAAAUCCUGGAGCUCAACUUCAGAAUUGCCUUCGAUACUGGCUUUCUAGAGGCUGGAAGAGGUUAGUGGAAUUCCCAGUGUAGAGGUGAAAUUCGUAGACAUUGGGAAGAACACCAGUGGCGAAGGCGGCUAACUGGUCCAGAUCUGACGCUGAGGUGCGAAAGCGUGGGGAGCAAACAGG